GGUAUUUUGACUAUACAAAGGUAUUGAAAUAAGAUUUUAAUUGAGUGCUAAGAGAAUGGAUUAACAAAAAAUGGCUGUUUCAAAGUUAAUAAUUAAAAUUAUUUUUAUUUGUGCAGAAACAAUAAUAUUAAUUAAGGACAAGAAGACCCUAAGAAUUUUAAAAUAAAUUUUAUUUAUUUAUUAAGACAUAUAUUAUUUUUAAUUGGGGCGAUUGAGAAAUAUUAACAACUUUUUUUAAUGUUUAAAAUGAACCAUUAUUAGUGGUAAUAUGAAAAAAAUACUCUAGGGGUAACAGCGUAAUAAUUUUUGACAGUUCUUAUAGACAAAAUAGUUUGCGACCUCGAUGUUGGAUUAGGAUUCUUUUUUAAUGAAGAAGUUAAAAUAAGAAGUUUGUUCAACUUUUAAAUUCCUA
Molecule: ribosomal RNA, 412 nt
Filed under: Amblyomma sp. MO-2012
Lineage: Eukaryota; Metazoa; Arthropoda; Arachnida; Ixodida; Ixodidae
Description: partial 16S ribosomal RNA
Source: RNAcentral